This 377-nucleotide ribosomal RNA is filed under the name uncultured bacterium. Its description in RNAcentral is "bacterial SSU rRNA". It matches the Rfam family "Bacterial small subunit ribosomal RNA", at positions 521 to 896 of the family's 1533-position model. The record is from RNAcentral.
UAAGACGAACCGUACGAACGUUAUUCGGAAUUACUGGGCUUAAAGGGUGCGUAGGCUGUGCAGAAAGUUGGGUGUGAAAUCCCCCGGCUUAACCGGGGAAUUGCGCCCAAAACUACUGUGCUAGAGGAAUACAGAGGUAAGCGGAACUUCGGGUGGAGCGGUGAAAUGCGUUGAUAUCCGAAGGAACACCGGUGGCGAAAGCGGCUUACUGGGUAUUUUCUGACGCUGAGGCACGAAAGCUAGGGUAGCGAACGGGAUUAGAUACCCCGGUAGUCCUAGCCGUAAACGAUGAGCACUGGGUUGGAGGGUCCUCCAUAGCCUUCCAGCCGCAGCGAAAGUGUUAAGUGCUCCGCCUGGGGAGUAUGGUCGCAAGGCUG